UACGUAGGUGGCAAGCGUUUGUCCGGAUUUACUGGGCGUAAAGAGCGCGCAGGCGGUCGUUUUAAGUCGAAUGUGAAAGCCCCCCGGCUCAACUGGGGAGGGUCACGCGAUACUGAUCGACUCGAAGGCAGGAGAGGGUAGUGGAAUUCCCGGUGUAGUGGUGAAAUGCGUAGAUAUCGGGAGGAACACCAGUGGCGAAGGCGACUACCUGGCCUGUUUCUUGACGCUGAGGCGCGAAAGCUAGGGGAGCAAACGGG
RNAcentral lists this ribosomal RNA (257 nucleotides) under uncultured bacterium. RNAcentral's name for it is "partial 16S ribosomal RNA". It matches the Rfam family "Bacterial small subunit ribosomal RNA", at positions 524 to 776 of the family's 1533-position model. The record is from RNAcentral.